This 90-nucleotide transfer RNA is filed under the name Rhodocyclaceae bacterium. RNAcentral describes it as "tRNA-Ser". It matches the Rfam family "tRNA". Rfam says of the family: Transfer RNA (tRNA) molecules are approximately 80 nucleotides in length. Their secondary structure includes four short double-helical elements and three loops (D, anti-codon, and T loops). The record is from RNAcentral. Lineage: Bacteria; Pseudomonadati; Pseudomonadota; Betaproteobacteria; Rhodocyclales; Rhodocyclaceae.
GGGAUGGGGGGCAGAGCGUUUGAAUGCACUGGUCUUGAAAACCAGCAAGGGGCAACUCCUUCGUGGGUUCGAAUCCCACCCAUCCGGCCA